UACGUAGGCAGCGAGCGUUGUUCGGAAUUAUUGGGCGUAAAGAGUGUGUAGGCGGUGCUCCAAGUCUGUUGUGAAAUCUCCCGGCUUAACUGGGAGGGUGCGGCGGAAACUGGAAUGCUAGAGGGUGGGAGAGGUAAGCGGAAUUCCUGGUGUAGCGGUGAAAUGCGCAGAUAUCAGGAGGAACACCGGUGGCGAAGGCGGGUCUCUGGGCCGAUACUGACGCUGAGGAGCGAAAGCGUGGGGAGCAAACAGG
This 253-nucleotide ribosomal RNA is filed under the name uncultured bacterium. RNAcentral describes it as "partial 16S ribosomal RNA". It matches the Rfam family "Bacterial small subunit ribosomal RNA", at positions 524 to 776 of the family's 1533-position model. The record is from RNAcentral.